RNAcentral lists this ribosomal RNA (301 nucleotides) under uncultured bacterium. RNAcentral describes it as "partial 16S ribosomal RNA". It matches the Rfam family "Bacterial small subunit ribosomal RNA", at positions 509 to 807 of the family's 1533-position model. The record is from RNAcentral.
CAGCAGCCGCGGUAAUACGUAGGGUCCGAGCGUUGUCCGGAAUUAUUGGGCGUAAAGAGCUCGUAGGCGGUCUGUCGCGUCUGCCGUGAAAUCCUCAGGCUCAACCUGAGGCGUGCGGUGGGUACGGGCAGGCUAGAGUGCGGUAGGGGAGAAUGGAACUCCUGGUGUAGCGGUGGAAUGCGCAGAUAUCAGGAAGAACACCGAUGGCGAAGGCAGUUCUCUGGGCCGUAACUGACGCUGAGGAGCGAAAGCGUGGGGAGCGAACAGGAUUAGAUACCCCGGUAGUCCCUGUCUCUUAUAC